GAAUUCACAGGGAUCAAAAUUGAAAUAAUCCCUGAUCUUGAAACAUUGUGUUGAAAUAUGGACUAAAACAUAAAAGUAUUUCAAAUUUUAGGGAUAAUCUAAAAGAAAAUAAAGCAAAUCGAAUGCAAAUAGGAGCAAAUUACAACGCGGUACAAGUAGGAGGAACCUGCCGCAAAAUAUUCCCUUCCAGGUGCAAAGGCACAAAUUCGGGGCUCCAGGCGGGUUAACGCGCGGACCUUCAUUCCCCCUGUGCGGCGCCGUUUUACUUUUAGUGCUAAAAACCCUAUUUUCAUUCUUUUCUCUUCAAAGAAGAUGCCAAAAAAAACAGAACCCUUGCUCUGUGUGGGUUCAUUUCAUCACGCAGCCAUGAACAUCCGUCAGUUUGAUGGCCAGUGGUGCGGAUAAGGGCCAGAUCUAGCCAACAAAGGUCACCUUUCCAAAAAUCAGAGAUGGCCGUACGGAGAAGAUGACCCCGGGUGAUGUGGAGGCUGAGCGCAAGGGUCUCUCAUGUGAGACCAACCUUCUGGUGUCGUUCCAGCUUGCUCCAGAAUCUUCUGGCAUUCACCAGUGGUUGAAACAACUUUGGGUGCAUUGGGCCUCAGGUUUUGGGCUAAAUUUGGGAUAUGGGUUAAUUAGUUUUUAGGACUUAUUGUGUUAUGGGUCAUUUUGGGGUUUAAAUUGUUUUUUGUCCAAAUAUUUGUAACUGGACAUUGGACUUUUAAUUUUGGAUUUUUAUUAUUUUUGGUUUUGGUCUUGGUGUCAGCCCGGGCAAAAAUGUGCCAUUACAAAACUGAUGUUGAACUCUUUGAGAUGCCUCUAAGCCAUUUUAUCAACUUCCUCUUGAAACGUAAAUGGAAGUUGAUAGCUUUGAGAACUUAAAUGAUGGGCCAAGUACAUCGGUGGAGAUUGUUACUAAUGACUAUCGAAACCCUUUUUUUAUUUUGAAAGCAAUGAGGAUUGACUUGUGAAAACAAAAA
This is a long non-coding RNA of Gossypium arboreum, 977 nucleotides long. RefSeq lists it as uncharacterized. The record is from RefSeq and is a predicted model, not a curated record. Lineage: Eukaryota; Viridiplantae; Streptophyta; Magnoliopsida; Malvales; Malvaceae. The transcript has 2 exons.